RNAcentral lists this long non-coding RNA (241 nucleotides) under Capra hircus (goat). RNAcentral describes it as "lncRNA (ENSCHIG00000004789.1)". Lineage: Eukaryota; Metazoa; Chordata; Mammalia; Artiodactyla; Bovidae. The record is from RNAcentral.
CUCAACUGAUUUGAACUGAUUUAUCUUAUAACUGGAAGUUUGAACCUUUCUACUAACUUCAUCCAAUUCCUUCUCCUCUCAGCCUCCUGCCUCUGGGUCACAAGAUGGCAGCUGGAAGUCUCACUGUUGCAUUCAUAUUGUGGGAAGAAAAAUGAAGGAAGGGGAAAUGAACAUCUCCCUGCUGAAUCAGAUCCCUUGAAAAGCUUUCCUGCCAGCCCCACCCAACUACUUCUGACUGGGG